UGGGGAAUAUUGGACAAUGGGCGCAAGCCUGAUCCAGCAAUGCCGCGUGUGUGAAGAAGGCCUGAGGGUUGUAAAGCACUUUCAGAGGGGAGGAGGACUAUUAGGUUAAGAGCUAGAUAGUUGGACGUUACCCUCAGAAGCAGCACCGGCUAACUCCGUGCCAGCAGCCGCGGUAAUACGGGGGGUGCAAGCGUUAAUCGGAGUGACUGGGCGUAAAGGGCAUGUAGGCGGUUAUAUUAGUCUGAUGUAAAAGACCCGGGCUUAACCUGGGAUAUGCAUUGGAAACGGUAUAGCUAGAGUAUGGGAGAGGGAAGUGGAAUUUCCGGUGUAGCGGUGAAAUGCGUAGAUAUCAAGAGGAACACCUGAGGCGAAGGCGAGUUGCUAGGCUGACACUGACGCUGAGGUACGAAAGCUAGGGGAGCGAACGGGAUUAGAUACCCAAGUAGUCCCUGAGCGGGCUGGCAAGGCGCAU
RNAcentral lists this ribosomal RNA (472 nucleotides) under uncultured bacterium. RNAcentral describes it as "bacterial SSU rRNA". It matches the Rfam family "Bacterial small subunit ribosomal RNA", at positions 355 to 825 of the family's 1533-position model. The record is from RNAcentral.